This 2909-nucleotide long non-coding RNA is filed under the name Triticum aestivum (bread wheat). Its description in RNAcentral is "long non-coding RNA (TAES_LNC015924)". The record is from RNAcentral. Lineage: Eukaryota; Viridiplantae; Streptophyta; Magnoliopsida; Poales; Poaceae.
UCACUUUCUUAUCUGCAUUUGUCUAAGACUAAGCAGAGGAAUAUGGAAGUAGCUGUAAAGUUGCUGAGUGAAACAAUAAGACUAAAAUGGACUGGGCAGUGCCAGGUUGGGGAACGACACCUUCAUUUUCUUUUUGGAUCUGGAUAGCACAUUCAUGCAAUUCUUGAUAAACUUAUUGUAUUGAUGCAUCACGUGGGGAAGAAACUAAAAUGCCAUCACAGGCGUACAUUCAGGUGAGUCGUUGCAGACGGCAAUGAUCCUCCAGGACAAGUUGUCGAUGAAGGCGGCAGAUAUGUUGAGCUUGGUCCGGAGGACCAUGAUGGAAGCCCUGGUCCUCUCGAUGGUGAACGACUCUACACCGUUAGCAUCCUGGGUCCUCAGCUGCACACACUAGCUUCUUCUCGUACGACAACAGCCGGACACGCUCCUCUGCUUGCAAAUGCAUUCCAGUUCAUAACUUGGCUUGAAUUAAGUGCACACAUUACCCAAGAGACAACCAUUUGAUAAGCAAAUCCAUUUGAAAAAAUAUAAACUGAGACGAUAAAGCUCUAAUAUCAAGUCAAUGAUUAUUAACAAAAAUAAAUACUAUGGUGCCUUUAGGUGUAUUUGACAACAAAUAAUAAGAAAUAUUAAGUAGAACUACUAAUCCUAGAACUGUCAUUGCCAUAUAGAAAGGAUCGGGUGUAUUUCCAUUAAGAAUUCACUUUUAUUUCAUUUGUCAAGAAGUCAAACUGAAGAGGAGAAUACCUCUUAUAUUACAUAUUUCUUCACCAAAGCGUUUUAACAUGCAAUGCAAGCAAGAGGUAGUUGAUCUCCUUACACCAAAAGUUCAACAAAUCAAUUUGCAAACAAAAAAGCUGAGAUAAAUUUCCAAAUAACAUGGUAUAGCCUUUUCUUAAUUAACGCAAUAAUUUUAAAAAAAGGGAUAUCCUCAUGAACAGCAGCAGAAGAGGGAAAGCCAAAAAUGUUUCUCCAAACUAAUGACCCAAAGUUCUGAAGUAACCUCUAAAAUUCUUGUUGGACAACUGAACUGUCAUAUCUUUCAACCACAAAAAGAAAAAUGACAGUACAUACUAUAUCUUGGCUACAGUAUGCUACCAAAAAUGGCUAGGACCAUACAUAAUUACCAAUAUUAAAAUCUUGGAGUGAUCACUCUGAUGAUAUUUGUUGCACAACACAGAACUGAUUUUAAUCUCAUUGCUUGAGGAAAAAAUUGAUGGUAUAUAUGAAAUAUCAAAACUACAUAGCUGAUUUAUCUGGACAUCAGUAUGUACAGAAGUUGUCAUAUAUAAAAGAUUCAGAAUAAAAAUAAUAGCUAUUCAUCUCAAAACUUAAUCGGCAAACACAAACAAGGUAAUGCUAGCUAGUAGUCUAGUACCUUUGAAAUGAAGGGAGGGGUAUUCAAGAUGGGAUGGGAUUCAUCAUCAAAUGGAUCUAUAAAUGCAUCAUGGAUGACCAACCUCGGUUUUCUUUUUUAAUGAAACGAAAGUUCGGAUUCUGAAUCUGCAUAGGCACUUGUUAAGUUCAGUGCAAGACAAAAGCUACAAUCCAUUCAGCAAAAGCCCUAAUGUUUCUAUUCCCAAACCUGGUUAAAAGGAUCAAUCAUUUGUGGCAGGGAGGGUAGAUGUCGCUCUGACAAAUCAUACUAGGCUUGUGGCCCUCCUGAAAGACAAUGGAACAAAUAUUAACAUGUUUUCUGCGAGGGCAUUCAUAAGUAAGAUAAGUUGAUUGUAGAACAUGGCAUAUGUACACUUUUUAACACUUUAGCAUAGCUCUACAAAUGGGGUUCAGAGAACAGAAACGUCAUUUGAUUCCAUCCCAAAUCAGGACCAUGUUUGUAGAUAGUAGGCUGUAUAGGUUCUACAAUCUUUUACAAAGGGCCUCGCCUAAACAAGUGUGGCAAUAAAACAAAAUCAAUGGGGAAUUAAAAUAUUUAUUUUAAGAAAUAGAUCAUCAAUGAAAAACAUACGUCACCAAAUAUUAUAUUCCCUCCGAUCCGUAUUAAUUGACGGUGGUUUAGUACAAAGUUGCACUAACUUUGUACUAAAGCAGCGUCAAUUGACCGGAGGGAGUACUUAAUUUUUAAUAAUUGCUCAUCACCCUUGGUUCAGAAAACAUAUUUUAGCACACAAAAGAGAAAUAACUGUAGGAAAUACGUAACUUUGUAGAUAUGUCUACCCUUCUCUCAGCAGCUCUGUACCUAUUAAGUAUUUAUCUGUAAGAAAAUGACACAUCGAGAAAUUUCGAGUAACCAGAUGAACUUGUAAGUACCGCAUCUGAAGUCCAUAACACGUAAUAUCCAUUCUCAUAGAUGUAGUACUGACCAUAUAUGUUGCUGUAGUACGAGGCAACGACAGGGUCAUGGUAAAAGCCAGUACUGAAAAUGAAAAUCCACUCCACUAAUCCCCUUCUCUGUCUCUGCCUUUAGCAUAAUUGCUAGAUCUGAAUCUGUAAACCAUGACAGAGAAGUGUGAAGCACAGUGACAAUAGAAUUAGCUUACCCUUCAUACUGUUGUAGAGCAAAGUAAUUAUUCCAAAGGCAAGUGCACCAUCAGCAUGUGCUUCUGCAAAAAUUAUCACUGAAGCAAUCAUAUCAGAAAUUCAUUUAACUGAUAUUAGUGUGUAAAGCAAGAAUAAGGUAAAAAGGCUUAUCCGUGUUAAACAAACCCUCCUGCAUGAGAAAUAUAGGACUAUUAUUAUAUUAAAUAACAGUAGAGACUACAAUGAGAUAACAAUCCAAGUAGUACAAUAAGAACUAUUGCAUCUUGAGGUAGAGAUUAGGACAAGGGAAACAAAAGCAAUGCUCACCAUUGAGAAAUCCUCGGAGAUUGAAACAAGGGUGGGGAAUCUUAAGCUUCACAAUUUUGUGCCUCCAAUGGUUGAGGCCUUCAUUGACCAAUCUAUAGCAG